CGGUUGCGAUUUAAGUUCUUAUAC
Molecule: non-coding RNA, 24 nt
Filed under: Arabidopsis thaliana (thale cress)
Lineage: Eukaryota; Viridiplantae; Streptophyta; Magnoliopsida; Brassicales; Brassicaceae
Source: RNAcentral